CGCGGCCUAUCAGCUUGUUGGUGGGGUGAUGGCCUACCAAGGCGACGACGGGUAGCCGGCCUGAGAGGGUGACCGGCCACACUGGGACUGAGACACGGCCCAGACUCCUACGGGAGGCAGCAGUGGGGAAUAUUGCGCAAUGGGCGGAAGCCUGACGCAGCGACGCCGCGUGGGGGAUGAAGGCCUUCGGGUUGUAAACCUCUUUUACCACUCACGAAGGCCCCUGGUUUUCUGGGGGUUGACGGUAGGUGGUGAAUAAGGACCGGCUAACUACGUGCCAGCAGCCGCGGUAAUACGUAGGGUCCGAGCGUUGUCCGGAAUUAUUGGGCGUAAAGAGCUCGUAGGCGGCCUGUCGCGUCUGCUGUGAAAGUCCGGGGCUUAACUUCGGGCGUGCAGGCGAUACGGGCAUAACUUGAGUGCUGUAGGGGAGACUGGAAUUCCUGGUGUAGCGGUGGAAUGCGCAGAUAUCAGGAGGAACACCGAUGGCGAAGGCAGGUCUCUGGGCAGUUACUGACGCUGAGGAGCGAAAGCAUGGGUAGCGAACAGGAUUAGAUACCCUGGUAGUCCAUGCCGUAAACGGUGGGCGCUAGGUGUAGGGGGCUUCCACGUCUUCUGUGCCGUAGCUAACGCAUUAAGCGCCCCGCCUGGGGAGUACGG
Molecule: ribosomal RNA, 657 nt
Filed under: uncultured bacterium
Lineage: Bacteria
Description: bacterial SSU rRNA
Rfam family: Bacterial small subunit ribosomal RNA
Source: RNAcentral